RNAcentral lists this ribosomal RNA (465 nucleotides) under uncultured bacterium. RNAcentral describes it as "partial 16S ribosomal RNA". It matches the Rfam family "Bacterial small subunit ribosomal RNA", at positions 338 to 795 of the family's 1533-position model. The record is from RNAcentral.
CCUACGGGUGGCAGCAGUAGGGAAUCUUGCACAAUGGGCGAAAGCCUGAUGCAGCGACGCCGCGUGAGUGAUGAAGGUUUUCGGCUCGUAAAGCUCUGUCGGCAGUGAAGAACGAUCACUGUGGUAAUUAGCAUUGAUUUGACGGUACUUGCUUAGAAAGCAACGGCUAACUCCGUGCCAGCAGCCGCGGUAAUACGUAGGGUGCGAGCGUUGUUCGGAUUUAUUGGGCGUAAAGCGCUUGCAGGCGGUAUAUUAAGUCUAGUGUGAAAUCCUCGGGCUCAACGGGGGAACUGCAUUUGAAACUGGUGAACUGGAGUGCGGGAGAGGAGAGUGGAACUGCAGGUGGAGGAGUGGAAUGCGUAGAUAGAUGGAGGAACACCAGUGGCGAAGGCGACUCUCUGGUCUGCAACUGACGCUGAGGAGCGAAAGCAUGGGUAGCGAACAGGAUUAGAUACCCGUGUAGUC